RNAcentral lists this ribosomal RNA (477 nucleotides) under uncultured bacterium. RNAcentral's name for it is "partial 16S ribosomal RNA". It matches the Rfam family "Bacterial small subunit ribosomal RNA", at positions 29 to 523 of the family's 1533-position model. The record is from RNAcentral.
AGUGAACGCUGGCGGCGUGCCUAACACAUGCAAGUCGAACGGAUCUUAAGGGCUUGCUCUUAAGGUUAGUGGCGCACGGGUGAGUAACACGUAGCUAACCUGCCCCAUAGUAAGGGACAACAGUUGGAAACGACUGCUAAUACCUUAUACUCCUUCUCUACCUAAGUAGAGUCGGGAAAGUUUUUUCGCUAUGGGAUGGGGCUGCGGCCUAUCAGCUUGUUGGGGAGGUAAUGGUUCACCAAGGCUAUGACGGGUAGCUGGUCUGAGAGGAUGAUCAGCCACAUUGGAACUGAGACACGGUCCAAACUCCUACGGGAGGCAGCAGUGGGGAAUUUUACACAAUGGGCGAAAGCCUGAUGUAGCAACGCCGCGUGGAGGAUGAAGGAUUUAGGUUCGUAAACUCCUUUUAUAAGGGAAGAAAUUUGACGGUACCUUAUGAAUAAGCACCGGCUAACUCCGUGCCAGCAGCCGCGGUAA